CCUGUAAACAGCAAAUGGCUUAGUUCCUCUUAGUAAGGAACUUAACAUCAUAGCUUUGUUCCCAAAGUCAAUAGGAAGUAAGGUAUCAUAAUUUUAGAUAUUCAAACCUGUCCAACUACCAACUAGGAAAAAAUGGUUAAAAUGCCUUAGGCUUGAGGUUUCUGCUCAGAAUAACAGUUUUCCCAGCUCCUUCCUGACCUAAGCCAGGACUCACAUUGAAAUGCAAAUGGAGGCGCAGUAAGAGACCAGUCUCAGACCCUAAAACAGGAGAGAGAAAGUGCCCUUUACCUGAACUUAUCUUAGACUAAACCAAAAAGUAAAUUGUAUGAUACUUUACUAAUUACUGGCCGGUCAUUUUUUCUAGGACUCUUGCUUUUUCUUAGAUUCUGUAUGUUUUGAGCCCAUAAUUUUGAUCCCACAGACCUAGGUUAAUGUUUUUCCAAUCAGCCCUAUUUUUUAUUCAACUAUGGAGAUUUUAACCAGUGCAAUGGAGAUUUCACCUGCAAAAAGCUACAAGGCCUUUGCUAUUGUGUUAUGUGUGCACACUUCUGUUAUAUGUUGCGUGUCUAUAUGUGCAUAUGUCCAUAUAUCAUGUACAUGAUAUGAAAAUUGGCAGAUAUAUAAGGAGCACUCAUAAAAUUUAGAAAAAAAAAUGAAUCCAAAUACCUUUAAUCCACAUGAUUUAAAAUGGUUUAAUUUAAAUU
RNAcentral lists this long non-coding RNA (704 nucleotides) under Marmota monax (woodchuck). Lineage: Eukaryota; Metazoa; Chordata; Mammalia; Rodentia; Sciuridae. The record is from RNAcentral.